Molecule: ribosomal RNA, 115 nt
Filed under: Escherichia coli
Lineage: Bacteria; Pseudomonadati; Pseudomonadota; Gammaproteobacteria; Enterobacterales; Enterobacteriaceae
Source: RNAcentral
UGGCGGCAGUAGCGCGGUGGUCCCACCUGACCCCAUGCCGAACUCAGAAGUGAAACGCCGCAGCGCCGAUGGUAGUGUGGGGUCUCCCCAUGCGAGAGUAGGGAACUGCCAGACA